This 4384-nucleotide long non-coding RNA is filed under the name Canis lupus familiaris (dog). Its description in RNAcentral is "lncRNA (ENSCAFG00845030806.1)". Lineage: Eukaryota; Metazoa; Chordata; Mammalia; Carnivora; Canidae. The record is from RNAcentral.
AAAACAUGAAUUUAUUUACAAGCAAAAUGAAACCAUGAUAUCUGAACAAACUUCUUAAAAAGGAAAACAAGUCUUUUAUUCUUAUAAAUAGAUGUACUUUAAAAUCAGUGACAUAAACCCACAAUUUUAGAAGUAAAAUAAGCUUCUCCAUUUUACAGAACAGUUAUCUAAUAAAAUAUAAAACUUAAAAGCAUCUACAACAUUUGUAGGUUUUUUUCAAAAAAGGAUUAAGCUUUUCCAGUCAAAAUUUUAAAAAAAUUCCAAAGUAUAUCAUGUUUGACAAUUUGCUUCCAAAUGGGAGUCUCUUUAGAGAAACUAAGUAACAAUUUUCAAACAACUAUGCCCCUCCAUUUGGUAGCUGGAAUCAUCUAAUUAAAACAAAGGUCUUUACUUCAAUGUAAAUAUGGCUAACACUCCAAUCCUGAUGGGUAUUUUUUCCCCUCCCUUAAAUUCAUAAGUACGUACAUAUUUCACUCCGAGACACCAUCACCAAAACAGAAAUGGAGGAUAACAUGGCAGAUGGAAGAUUACCUGGCUCUGGAAUAGCCGAAACUGGUGUGGGCCUCAUAUUCCUGACUUAUAAAAACAGAGAGUAUAAUCAUUCCUCAUGCUUACUUCGAAUUUUAAACUUUGCUAUGAAUUUGAAGAUAGACUUGAAUUUGAAGGUAGACUUCAUGCUCUUCUCCCUCCCCCCCAUCAAUUGACAGCAGUUAACCUGGAUUCUGGAGUCAGCCUGCCUACAUAUGAAUCCCAGCUCAGCCAGUUAUUUCGCAAUCUUGGGAAAAAUAUUUAAUCUCCCUUUACUCAGUUUCUUCAUGUGUAGAGCAGAUAUAUUAAAAACAGUACUGAUCCCACAAUGUUGUUAUGAUCCAUAAAAAACGUGGGUAAAGCACUUACAUCUGUGGCUAAUACAACAAUAUAGGAGGUUUCAAAUUUGUCACCAUCAUCAUUCACUGAGUGUGGGAAAAGAUCUUGUCUAUGUCCUAUGAAGUAAAGAAUGCCAUAUGGGAAGAUAUAUUAGGUUAAAUCACCUAAGACAUUAUAAAACACAAAAUUAUAAAACGCAAAAAUGAUUGCUUUUUAUAUUUACCUUAGCUUCAUAUAAUUUAGAAAAUAUUGUGAAUAACAUUAUAAUAAAUAGACAUGGAUGACUAUAAAUUACUUUGUAGUUCAAAACUUAAAACUAUAAAAAAAGGUUUUAACUCAGAUUAAGAAAGUUUAAUUACCAGAACACUCAGAAAUGUAGUACAAUAUCACCACCUAGUGGAUACUGUAUUUAAAAACAUUUUAUAGAUCGUGCUUGCCCUAUUUAUCUUUAGGAGGAAAAUCCUUUUCAAAUAGAAGCACAUUCUCUUCACUAAUGUAAAGGGGAUUUAAAAAAAUAGAAAACAAAUUUAAACUAUAUUAGCAGUAAUCUUAAACACUAUAGCUAAAAAUACCUCCUACUAAGUUGUGUAUCUCAAAUUUACUUCUAAACAAGGUAGCAGAGUUAAAAGACAGCAUGCAAUUCACCAGAAAUACUUCACCAUGACUUCUCAAUUAAUGCAAAAAAUAUUAGUUGUAACAAACAAUGAAUUUCACAUCACUGGGUUGUGAAGCAUCUUAAAAAAAAACAUUUUACACUACCUACUAAUCUGAAUCUCUUCUGAAGCAUUCCUGAUAAACAGAAAUCUUGCCAAUGAGUGGGGAAACUUGUUCUUUUCUGGAUCCAUUCCCAGCCAGAGACUAAGUAAGUAAAGAAUGUAUGUUUUGAAUCAGUUGAAAUCUGUUGGCCUUUGAUAUAAACUUUAGGGAAUAAACAAUAGUCCACUCCUUUUUCCAAAUAAUUACUCUUCAAUUAUCAGAGCUUAUCAAGUUGUAGGAUCUCUACUUCUCCAAGUUAAGCGUCCUGUAUAUUCGUUUAAAAGCCAUUUAUCUUACAACUGUUUGUGCACCUUUAAAUAGCUGCUAGCAUUUUAAAAAAUGACUUCAUUCAAUACAAAAAAAUAGUAUGUCAUGAAUGUUCCGGCUAAUGCAAAGUAAAGACAGAAUACAAAUUCUCUCUCCACAUUUUACUUCUCUUAAUGAAAAACUUUCUCAGUGAGGCAGAGUAUCAGUUAAAAACUCACAGGCUUGGGAGUCAGGCCAAUCUAUGUUCUUAAGUGACAGUGCAGACUUUGGGCAACUUGCCUGAUCUGCCUUAACUUUAGUUUCUCCAGCAGUCAUAUAAAAAUAUGAGUAGGAUCAAAUGAGAUAAUGUUUAUAAAUCAGCCAGUAUAAUGCCUAAACAUUGUAGGUGCUCAAAAAAAGAUAGCAAUUAUUAGUUACCAUUAGUUUUCUUCCCUCUCUUAUUUUGUUAUGUGCCCCCAACCCCAGUGGUUCAACUGAACUGUAUCAUUGUCAAGUUUCAGUCAGUGUGAAAAAAACAAAAUACUUAAUAUUUAUCUCCUCAGAAAAAUAUCGUAUCUCUUUUUGUCUGAUGGUGAUGCACUGGGUUCAAAUUAAAUUAACAUUAAAUUUAUCAAAUGCCCAACUUCUAAUAAUCAAAAUACAUUACUGGAUUUCUUCAUUUUGGCAACACUUCUUACCCUAGAAAUAAUUUCCAAAUGUUACAGAAUUCAGCGUUAGAUUAUGGAUAAUGUUAAGAAUUAUAUCAUCUAUCCAUUUUUACUAUAAUUUUCUCAGCUAUACAAGUUUUAAUAUAUUGGAGUUGUCUUAUUGUCGUCAUUUAGAUACAUAAAAAAAUACUCUAGUAGUUAGAUGCACCCUAACUAAAGUAACACAAAUUAUUCAUGAUUUUUUAAAUCUCUUCCCCCUUAAAAGUUUAAUAAGCAUCAGACAUUUUACGGCUUAUAUUCUAAUGGUUGAAAGUUACUUAUUGUUCUUAUUUAAAUAAACAGCAAUAAUUUUGAAAUCACAUCCUAUUAUAAUAACAACAAAUAACAUAUUUACAAGUAGAUACAUGUAUAAGUUUUAAACACUAUGGUAAAUACAAAAAAUUAAAACUAGGUCCGAAAAUUUAGGCAGAAAAAAGUUUAGAAUGGCUUUCAUUAUGAAGCAUGUGAUUUAUUUCCUAAAAUUAGCUUAUGGUUACAUAGUAUGUUUUUUCUAGGACUCACUUCAUUCUGUGCUAAAAACUUCAUUCAGUAUACAUUUAUUUGACAUUUACUAUAUAUUUACGAACUUUAUGGAUAUAUAACAGGGGCUGAAUUAUUUUUGAAAUAAGGCUAGACACAUGUCAGGCUAAAAUAACUACAGUCAAGACAAAUACUGUUCUCAUUUGAAGUGAGGAGAAAAGAUUAAACCACCAAGUGGCUUUAUUGAAUCUAACACCACAAAUACAGAAAUCCUAACUUUCAUGUUAAAUGCUUUUUCUACAAGCCCAUGGUUCCUAAGUCAUAUUCAAAUUUCCAUUCAAAAAAGCUUUCUCAUUUUAUUUGCAUUAUAUUUCUUUCUUGUUUCACUUAAGGAAAUUCUAGUUGCCUCAAAGAUAAUAAAUGCUCUCCAGCCUAAUUAACAUGAAUUCUUUUUUAUAUCACAUUUCACUUAAAUGUUUACCAAAAAUAACUGUCUACUAUUUUGGGGGCAUAAUAAAAAUGAGGAUGGAUCCCUUUUCCUCUCCUCUCCUAUCUUCAGACAAUUACAAAGAAAAAGAAAAUGUCAAGCAAGUGGCAGUUAAAUUCAAACUAGAAAUACAUGACAUUAAGCUAUUUAUCUAAUAUAAAUAAACUGCAUUAAGCUACUUAUAUUAAUGUACCUCAUGAAAGACUAAGCAUGUUCCAGAAAUAGCUUUAAGAGGAGGAAGAGGCCAGACAGCUAACAUAAUUUCUCUUACCAAAAUGACAUUCUAUGUUUAAGCUCAGGAACAUUGUAUUCCCAAAUAAUUUAAAAACACAGUCAGAUACAUAAAAAGAUUUCUGGUAUCCACUAAAAGAAAACAUAAAUAAUACAUGAGGAAACGCAUAGCACACUGCAAGCUUACAAAUGCCAUAUAAAGGAAAUACUCUUUAUCAAUGGAAUUUCAUAUAAGGUAGAAAAAGUUCAAAAAGUUUAUUACAAGGCUUAAAAAUUUAUGGACUAAAUCUUUUUAUGAUAUUUUUAAAAAUUAUUCUACUUAAAAGACUUUAACAAUAAUUACUAGGCUCCACAGCUCUCCAACUUAUCAAUACUUUUUAAUAAUCAUCUUUUAAUCAAGAGAUUCAAUUACAUUUAAUUUUUUAAAGACUCAUGUCAAAAGUAUGUACUUAAUUCUUGAAAAAUAUUCAAACCACAAAUGCAACUUAGGAUAUUUCUAAAAGCUAUGCUCCACAGCACCAUUUAAUUCACAGUAUUCUUUUCUAAAAUGUUGUGUUGUAUUUUAUAUACUUUAUAGAAAACAUGGAAGAUUAACCUGUUUCCCUCUGAG